ACCUCACACUACACAGCAUCUCCCCAUCUUGUAGACUGUGUGUCUUUCCUUGAAGCUCCUGUCACCGUUCUCCCUCAGCCUCUUUUAUCCCUCUAUCCUCCCCAGCAGCUCUUGUCUAUUCAAAUCAAGGGCUGGCGGAAAAGUGCCAGAAGGCAUUUCACUCUGCAAUAUUUCCUUUGGGUGCAAAACCCCAAGUCCCCGCUCUGAUUCGUCAACAGUCGCACAACAACAGAAGUCGGAGUUCACAGCCGUGGCAGAGAGGAUCAUAUUUUAGUGCUGGUUUACAGCAUCCUGGGCCCACAGGAGCCAAGUGUCACACAAAUGCUAUUUACAGCCCUAGAAAAGGAGAAGAGGAACCCAGCAAAUGCAUCCAGCUUUCAGUGUCAUCUGGGAUUCCAGCAAGAGUUUGAUGCUUUCAAUAACUUGUUUUUCCUUGUGGCCCUUCUGCAGCACUUCAGGAGGAGAGAAAAAGAUGGGAAGAUAAAGUGUGUUCAAAGGGAUAGUGCAGACUUCAGAGGGAGCGAUAACAUCAGCCCGGUCCCCUAGAAGUCCUCAGUAAAGUGAACGUAGCCUUUGGGGGGCUGCUGCUCCAGCCGGCUUGUGACAGGUAAAUAAACCAAACCCAGGAACUCAGAAGCUGGAAAAGAAGGAGAAAAACCUUCACAUCAAAUAUUUUAGGAUUUCCAAAACACGAUUAAAAUCCACUAAAUACAUCUGGCUUUUUUUCAUUCAGCACCUUGUUUUCUGUCCAUUAACACUUUUCCUCCCUCUCCUUUCUACAAAUUACCAUUUUAUUUAUGAUGCACCAGUAUGUAAAUUAGCUAUUUACCUCAUCCUUUGUUGUUUUAAUGCAUGUUAGUAACUAGUGUUAUCAGAUUAGCAGCCGUUUUAAAGAAGGCAUGCACCGGGAUGCUCAUAUAAUUAGCACCAUAAAGGAGUGCAUGGCUCUUCUGCAAGCUUCAUAAUUUUUCUAAAAUAAAGAUUGGAUUGCAAUAACAUCACUGAAGAAUCCUCCCUGGGCUGAGAUGUUGCUGUGAGAAUUAUUAAUAAUUCCUCCAUCCUGGUUUUGUUGACCUUUUUGUUCUUCAAGUGGAAAAUUAAUUUAACUUGCUAAAGCACAAUCUGUGGUUAGUUGCAAAGCAUUUCUCUCCUGCAUUUACAUCUUCUAUCUAUGUGCAAAUUACACUUUAAGGUAAGAAAAAACUGUUUUAAGGCUUUUUGUUCAACAAUAAUAACAAUUUGCAGAGUAUUUUGACUAUAAAAAUGUCCUGCUGAGUAAUUGAACAAUGAUGGCAUUGUUUUUAUUACAUCAGGCAACAUUUCUUCUUUGUUGCCUCUAAACACUGACAGAAUAAUUUGAGCACAUUUAUUAAGUUGGGGUAAAAAUCCUCUUCAUGUGAUCCAGACUGUGUGCCUGCUGAACCAUUUCUGAGCUGAUCUAGUCAUGUUUUUAUAUCAGGAUGCUGCUGAAGCAUCCAAUGAGGUCUCAGUUUUCUGCAGAUAAGAAUUUGUAGGGAUUUUGGAGGAGAAACCGACCCACAGCAUCAUAGAUCAGCUACCAUACCAAACACACGUAGGCAGUCAUCCUUUGCUGUUUAACAAGAAUUACUGGGGUUUGAUACUGACAAAUUCAGGAAUGAGGAAGUUCCAGUUGAAGUUUCAGCACAUUUAGUGGAACAGAAAUGUUUGUAAUUGUAUUUAUGAAUCUUUUUAGCUGCACAUUGAUCAGCCUGGAACAACUUUAUCUGAAAGGUACCGACCGUGACGUGAUUCUGCAGGGCUAAAAAACUAUGAUUAGAGUGGAUUUAAUUAUUGUUCUGACUCUCGCAAGAAUUACAUUUUUUGGCAUGUUCAUCUUUCCCAUUUUGAAGAGUCUCAGAACGUUUUGGACUUCAGGAGGAAUCCAGAGAACCCAUGGCUGCAUGGGGAGAACAUGCAAACGCUACGGAGGAAUUUGAACCCAGGACUUUCUUCCUGCAGGGCUGCAGGGCUUCAAACCACUAUGCAGGAAUUGAAAACAGGAAUCUUUGAAAUGCAGGAUUUCUAGGUUCUUAAUGGUUAAACCAUGGUACAUUUACCUAACAGAAAGCCCUUUGCAGCAUGGAAAGUGGGAAUUCUGAUCAUUUGAAAUGCAAAAAGCAUCAGAAAAUGUGCGCCGCUCUUUUUGCUGGUCUGUUUUUAUGCAUCUAUUAUGUCUAUUUUAUUUCUGUUGCUUUUGGAAAAACUACCAAUUUUACAGAGAGAAUAACAACCUGGUUGAUGUUUAGGAAAAGAUUUGAUUUGCUUUAGAUAAGAUCUGGAGAGUUUUUAUGUGUUUUUAUCUCCAUUGCCUGUUUUCUGGGGUUAUUCAGUAAAACCAAGGAGAUGUGAGGAAGGUUCUCUUUUGUUUGGUAUUUUCAUGUUAAUUUCUUUUAGAAUAAGGUUAAAAUGUUUGCAGAAAGCUGUCAACAUAUUUUAGAAUAUAACUGGAAUUCCCAGAUUAACCUCUUCUGGUUCAACAAAUCAGUUUUAUAUUUCUGUUGAGACAACAAUCCAACUGUUAACAUGGAUAUGCAUGGAUGUAAAGAGUUUUGCCCACAUUUGUAACGGAAACGCAGUUUAUGACGGUAAAAUACAUUUAAAGAUUCGACUAUAUGCAGAAGCCAAUCGGGAACUUUGCUGUGGAAGUGUUUGCAUUUCAGUGCCGUUUGCCAAAACGAUGACUGGGCUGCUACUUCCCUGUAUCCAAAGCAGUAAGUUGAUGUGGGGAUCAAUAGAUAGAACGAUGGAUCAACUCAUUUCUUUUAGCACUGAUUCAUUUCUCAAUAGCCACAAGAGGAAAGUGGAAGAUUUAGCUCUUAUAACCGGCCAGUGUUUGCUUGAUUACUAUUCCAAAUAUUGCUCUUUGUGCAGAUUCUUGCUUUCAGUUACACCCCAGAGUGUUUUCAUUGGCUUUGACCUCCCCAGGAAGCAAACCCAGGGGUCGGCAUUACCAUUCAUAUAAACAUGUUGUUCAUUUAUACUCCUCUGCUCAUAGCUCAUUGAUGCAGAAAUGGGGAGCGUUUUGCGUGCGUCCAAUUUUAAUGACUUCCCCAACCCCAGCCAAUAAAAGAAGUGUACAUGUGUGGAAGUAGCAGCUGGAAAUGAAGGGUGGCUGCUGGUCAGCCUGAACACAGCCUUGUUAAAAAGUCAAUUAAGGAGAAACAAAGAGGGAGCAGAGGACAGAAAUAUUUCUCCUCACAGCAGCUUUUUCAUUCUCGCAAUGCUUGGAGCAGCUUCAGCAAAUGAGUGCAAGGAUUAUUUAUAAGCACAACUCGUCUCCUUGAAGUGAAAGACGGCGGAGUCCGAGAUUAUGACUGUUUCUUGACAAAUUUGACAUCAAAAACUGUUGUUGCAAACAUACAAUUUCACACUUGCUCUUCAAUCUUCUCUGGUCCUCGUGUGGAAAAGAAGUGUCUUGGAAUUGCUAAACUGAGGUUGAUGUUUUUUUUUUUCUUUUUUACACCAUCUGGUUUGGGAAGUAAUCUAAAACAAACACACACUUCAGAUGAUAAAGCUGUGUCUGCUGCACUUUAAAUUCAAUCAGCCAGAGGCAUCCGCAGACACUUUCAGGGACGCAGUUUAUUGCAGAAAGGGUACGUUAAACACAGCAGCUAUGAAUCUGUCAAGUGUUUCCCUGCUGGAUGUGGGAUUAGUCGAAUUCUUUCGGUUGUAAAUUUUAAAGUAUUUCAGCAUACUUUAGCAGUGCGAUAACAUGUAGACUCGGAUUGUCUCCCCCGAGUAUUUUAAUUUGGCAAGAAAAGUCUGCGGCCAAACAUGAAAUCCUUCAUUCCAGCUUCUCUGCUGGUUUCCUGGCUGAGCUUUAAUCUUUUGUCCAGUCAAUACAGCUAAAAACAGAAAACCUGCUUCUUUUUACAGAAACAGCUGCCACUACAGAAGCAUCUGAAUUAAUCUAUAAAUGAAAAUGAAAUACACGUUUGUGUUGUUCUGUACUGCUGAACCGUUUUGUGUCUGACUCAUCUGCCUCAAAAUGUUUUUCUCAGCAAAAUGAUUGAGACAAACUCAGAGAAAAUGUUGAAAUUCUGUCUUUUCUGCUUUCCAAUAAAAUGUUUUGGUUGAAAAAAAAUUGUAAGAAACACAUAAUGUCUCCAAAGAUAACAGCUGACAAUGAAUGUAUAGGAUGCAGGUUGUGAAGUGGAUUUAUUCCAACACAAAGUAGUUAAUGAGUAUUACAUGGUUAAUAAGGCAUAAGCCCAAAACUCAAGAUGUUAUAAUUAAAGAUGAUCAUGAACUGAACUGAAAUGACAUUUAAAAAAUAAAGAAAGGUUAUUAAAAAAAACUCUGAAGUAAAAAUAUUUAAGCUGUUGCUCCUCUGGGAACAUGCAGAGAUAUUUGUAAUCAUUCCAAGAAGACAAACAGUUUUGUGUUUACUGGCUGUUACAGCAUUUUAAAAAUAUGCAAAUGAUCCGAUUCCCCAAUGCGAAGCCCAUCUCAGACGGGUCAGAGUUGUGCAAAGCAUUACGUACAUCUUUGUUUCUCUGUGAUGUAAAACAAUAAAGCAAUAAAGUAAAUGUUUGCCUGCA
Molecule: long non-coding RNA, 4562 nt
Organism: Poecilia reticulata (guppy)
Lineage: Eukaryota; Metazoa; Chordata; Actinopteri; Cyprinodontiformes; Poeciliidae
Source: RefSeq, a predicted model, not a curated record